GUCGAUUGUAUAUUAAUUUGUGAACGAUUGUUUUUGUUUUCUUGUGAACGUUGCAAGCAAUAGAGCUAAAUAAGUUAGAAUCAAACAAUAGAAUAUUAACUAAAUUAAUUAGUACCUAUGUAAUUAGCGAGCUUAAAAGCGUGAUUCGAAAGAAUUUAAGUUAGUUGGGUGUCGAUUUACUCGUCAUUUUUAUUAUAAUAUCUCUCAUUCAGACUCAAUCAUCAGAAUCUUCAUAAACUCAAUUUCUUUCCUUUGGCUGAUACCCUUUAUUUCCUUGGGGUAGAUAGUGUGACUUUAUCUUUCGCUGUUUAUGAAGUAGCAAUUACACUAUGUAUUCAGGGGGUUUCAUCCUCCUCAUAGUAUGUGCGCACUAGUUUCGCAGCACCAUCCAGAUUUUGUACAGUCAUGAUUUUUUUUAUUGAGAUCCCCGCACUGAGUAUGCGGAACUGUUGUAACCACCCUGACUUCCCGGAACUCUUUCUCAAAUGUCCGAUCCUCGUCCGGCAAAGAACCCUGUAGAGGUGUGAGAGAUUACCGCGGUAAAUACUAAUAUAACUAGACGCGCGGCUCACUCGUAGGAUGCUCGUCAUACGUACAAUAGGUGCAUGGCCUCACGGAGCACAUUCUCGUAGGGCUUAACCGACUAAAACCAUUAUACACGGGAGCCCUCUUCUUCAAUGUCGCAAAAGCGUUCGACAAAGCCUGGCAUAAUGGUUUGAUUUUCAAACUAUUCAACAUGGCCGUACCGGACAGUCUCGUGCUCAUCAUACGGGACUUCUUGUCGAAUCGCUCUUUUCGAUAUCGAGUAGAGGGAGCCCGCUCCUCCCCACAACCACUCACGGCUGGAGUCCCGCAAGGCUCCGUUCUCUCUCCGCUCCUAUUUAAUUUAUUUAUUAACGAUAUUCCCCGGACGCCGCCAACCCAGCUAGCUUUAUUUGUUGACGACAUAACUGCUUACUACUUAAGUAGAAACAAGUACCUAAUCGCGAGUAAGCUCCAGAGCGCAGCCUCGACCCUCGAACAGUGGUUCUGAAACGAAACUCAGCAAAAAGCACAGCCGUGUUAUUUCAAAGGGGAAACUCACCGCUUAUUUCCUCCCACAUUAAGAGGAGAAAUAUCACACUCCCGAUCACCCUCUUUGGCCAGCUUAUACCUUAGGCCAGGAAGGUUAAGUACCUGGGAGUCACCCUGGAUGCAUUUGCAACAUUCCGCCCGCAUAUAAAAACAGUCCGCGACCGUGCCGCAUUUAUUCUCGACAGACUCUAUCGCAUGAUCUGUAAGCGGAGUAAAAUGUCCCUUCGGAACAAGGUGACACUUUACAAAACUUGCAUGAAGUCCGUCAUGACUUACGUAAGUGUGGUGUUCGCUCACGCGGCCCGCACACACAUAUACACCCUCCAAUCUCUAUAAUCCCGCUUUUGCAGGUUAGCCGUCGGGGCUCCGUAAUUCAUGAGGAACGUCGACCUACACGACGACCUGGGCCUCGAAUCGAUCCGCAAAUACAUGAAGUCAGUGUCGGAACGGUACUUCGAUAAGGCUAUGCUUCAUGAUAAUCGUCUUAUCGUUGCCGCCGCUGACUACUCUCUGAAUCCUGAUCACGCAGGAGCAAAUCACCGUCGUCGCCCUAGACACGUCCUUACGGAUUCAUUAGAUCCAAUAACUCUUGCAUUAGAUACCUUCAGCUCUAAGACUAGGAGCAGGCUGGGGAACCCCGGUAACCGUACGCGUCGAACUCGACAAAGAGGUCGAUGUGCAACCUAACCCGUGCAUCAGCCUGCUGAGUUUCUCGGCGGAUCUUCUCGGUAGGUCGCAAUUCCGAUCCGGUAGUAGAUUCAUUCGCGAAGCUAUUGCUCUUGAGUUGUUAGGUCUCCUUCGGAGGCGCUCGGAUAGUUGUUAACAAAUCCCACCCCCCCUGGGUGAGCCUUUGCUCGCCCACCUGACCUGGUGAAACUGGAAAGGCCUCAGGGCCACCAGUAAUCUUUCAAUCAUAAAAAAAAAACGUAUUCACCCAUGGCUCCCAUGACCCAUGCUCCAUCAAACUGUUAUCGAUUUAAAAAAAUAAGAAUGUUACGAAAUUUUAUGUGAAAUUCACUAAUUUUGUUGAAGUUAGGGCGCCUUCUUUUUUACAUUCAACUACUUACUCUUAGUCUCAAUAACAGCUGUGUAAUGUUUGAACUUAAUCGAAUGCAAAGAACGUGAACAGACAUGCAGAAUAAACAAUUCGACACUUCCUCGUAGCCAAUAAAUUUACGAUUACAUUUUUAGAUUUUCAAAUACUUUAUAACAUCGUUUAUCGUUUCACCUUAUAAAAAAAAUAUUAUUUGCAAUAGAACCAAAGAUACUCAGAGUGCGUAUUGUCGUAUGUUCAUCUUUACCGUAGUUAUAUAUCGUAUAGUGUAGGUAAUGAGCUUUACGCGGGAAGCGAGGGACCGUUUAGCCGCGCGAAGGAUAGGAUUUAUAAUAUUUAAUGGACAAUACCAACAGCGUCAAGAGCAGGAACGAAGGGAUUUCACAAUACAUGUAUAAGGACAAUAAAGACUGCUACAAGCAAAUUAAAAAAAUACGAGUAAUUAGAUACCAACAGCGUCAGGAGCAGGAACGAAGGGAUUUCACAAUACAUGUAUAAGGACAAUAAAGACUGCUACAAGCAAAUAAAAAAAAUACGAGUAAUUAGAUACUAUUGGUAUUGUUAGUUAAACAUUUUUAUUAUGGGUAAGCAGUCCUUGUUCACAAACUUAAACAGCGCACGAUCGAUUGUUGACUAGUUUUUUUAACCACUGAAUUAAAAAAUAGUCGCACUUAUUUCAUUUAUUUUACUGUACUCCGAUUUCACAGCUCACUCAGCAACGGAUUACUGAGAAAUCUAAAUGAUAUUGUAAACAUAAUAUCCAAAUAAGUAAUAGCUUCGAAGUUGUUGGAUACAUAAUACUUUCUCUCUUAAUAACCUAGGCUGUUUCUUUGUGAUUAGUGUUGGAGAAUUUUUAAUUUAAUUAAAAAUAGUAUUUAACAGUAUGUCAUAAUAUCUGUUUUACACUUAAAGCAUUCUAUGUAUUACGUUUUUUUAUAUAUUUCUAUACAUAUAUCCUAUGGAAGUAACAAGCAAUAAUUGCAUAUAACGACAUCUACAAAAUUUAAUUUAUGACUUGAUUAUUCAUUGUAAAUAUAGGAAAGGUUAAACUAAAUAAUAAAUCACAAAAUUCUAACAUUUGUAAAUAAAAAUGAGUUAUUUUUUAAAACGUUUUUGGAUACGCGGCCUAUUUGGACUGAAAUUUUAAAAACCAAUUAUCGAACAAAAUUGUACCUUAUGGUAAAAAAAAGAAGGAAUAAAAUAUAGUUUUACGGUAGCGAAGUCACAAGAGACACGAAUAAUAAAGUAAAGAUUUUCUAAAGUAAAAGUAAUUAUGUUUUUGUGUUUAUAUGAAAUACUGUUUCUAGUGUCUUCGAAUUUAGGUAGUGAUGUUACAAGCUCAAUAAAAAUAGUGUAUAAGUAGCUGUAGAAACAAUCUAACAGUUACUGAACCAUAUCUCAACAUACUUCUAACAUUUUUUAUGUGGACUUUGUAGUUAAUAAUGAGAAUUUUACACAUUUCGGAUCUUUAUCGCUACCUGUUUUAAUAUUGCUAAGCGUUUUGAAUAAACGCCAUGAGAAAUAUGCUGAAAUAUUGGUAGAAGUCUAAUACGCCAGUGCCGGAAAAGCUUUUUACCAAAGCACUUGAACUGAUAAGCCCACCCAUCAAAAUUUUUAUAUAAAGUAGUUAUAUAGAUACCAAUUAAAGAUUACGAUAAAAAAUAAUGCCAAAUUUAAAAAAAAAUUUGUCUGAUGAUUUGGUUUAUACUUGCUCACAUUGAAUUUGAGAGAUUUUGCGUUAAUUUAAAUAUGACAAUGGUUAUUAGCUAUUAUUUAAUUUUGUUAGAUCCAAAAACUAUUUCGAGGAAUAGGCUAGCUGAUUAAUAAAAACUCAAUAAAGGAAUACAAUCGGAAAAUACAUUGUUAAUCAAAUAAGUUUGACCAUUGUUUGGCCUUAAAUGACGCCAUCAUUGGCUUUAUUCAAACAGAUUUUAAUUUAUAUACUCUGUGUAAAACUCAAAUGUCAUUUUUGUUAUGAAUUUAUUGAUAAGCUCAAAAUAAUUUUAGAAUUUCAGCUCUAAGCAUGAAGUCAUGAUUAAAAACACUUUUAAAACUUAUGUUUCAGCGUGGUGUAUAACAACCAUAAGAGUCGACUAUUAUCAAAGCCGGCAAUCUGACUUUUGGACAAUGAUUGGUAAAUCAGAAAAACGAAUUAUUGACUUUGUAUUCCAUUGGCAGUCACAAAACUCUUCGGAACGACAUCUUAGAUAAAUAACAGGUUAACUAUUAACCUUUAUUUAAUGCAGGUUUUGAACCGUAUUCUUUGAAGGAGACGAUUAUAUUCAAAUCAAUCUGUAUUGACAUAUCAAUAAAAUUGAUUUGUCCAAAUGCACAGAUUGCCACCUUUGAUAAUAGACGACUCAUAACAGGUUGUCAGUGAUAUUUGUACUUAGUGUAAGUAAACGGGUGACAUUGAUAGAAAAACGAAAAGAGUGCCAUGUUUAUACAUAGUUUAAAUUGUUUCGGGGCUACUACCCCAUUUUGUCUGUCACUGAUGAUGCUAACACUUUGAAGAGCGAUGAAGAUUUCUGUUAGUUAAUUUAAGAAAAAAACUACACUGAUUAUUUAUAAAAAAAUUUAUGAGUUUUUCAAAAUUAUCAAUUCUAUAAAAAUAAUUAAAAUGGCACCUCCUUUUUUCAAUCAAUGCUAAUCAAUUUCACUUUCAAUCAAUUGUUGAUGCUCACAUAAGAUUUUAUUUAUUUAUUCUUAAUACAAAUAACAUUCGUGCCAAAUUUUAUUGCCGGAGAAUCUAAUUUUGAAUACUUAAUAAUAAAUGUACUUUAAAAUCACUGCCAAUCUAAGUUUUUGCUCUAACGUGUUUGUUAAUAUUGUAAAUAUUUAAAGAAAAAAUAAAUAAAUAAAACAAUG
Bombyx mori (domestic silkworm) is the source of this 4996-nucleotide long non-coding RNA. RefSeq lists it as uncharacterized. The transcript has 3 exons. Lineage: Eukaryota; Metazoa; Arthropoda; Insecta; Lepidoptera; Bombycidae. The record is from RefSeq and is a predicted model, not a curated record.